UACGUAGGGACCAAGCGUUGUUCGGAUUUACUGGGCGUAAAGGGCGCGUAGGCGGCGCGACAAGUCAGUUGUGAAAUCUCCAGGCUUAACUCGGAAAGGUCAACUGAUACUGCAGGGCUAGAGUGCAGAAGGGGCAACUGGAAUUCUCGGUGUAGCGGUGAAAUGCGUAGAUAUCGAGAGGAACACCUGCGGCGAAGGCGGGUUGCUGGGCUGACACUGACGCUGAAGCGCGAAAGCCAGGGGAGCGAACGGG
RNAcentral lists this ribosomal RNA (253 nucleotides) under uncultured bacterium. RNAcentral's name for it is "partial 16S ribosomal RNA". It matches the Rfam family "Bacterial small subunit ribosomal RNA", at positions 524 to 776 of the family's 1533-position model. The record is from RNAcentral.